Nicotiana sylvestris (wood tobacco) is the source of this 71-nucleotide non-coding RNA. The record is from Rfam. NCBI's taxonomy places the organism in Eukaryota, Viridiplantae, Streptophyta, Magnoliopsida, Solanales, Solanaceae.
AUUCGUUGGAUGAAUGUGAGGCAUUGGAUUGAUUUCGUUCAAUCCGAUCCCCACAUUCAUCAGGGAUUCGU